CAGUCGCCACGGUAAUACAGAGGGUGCAAGCGUUAAUCGGAAUUACUGGGCGUAAAGUGCGCGUAGGUGGUUUGUUAAGUUGGAUGUGAAAUCCCCGGGCUCAACCUGGGAACUGCAUCCAAAACUGGCAAGCUAGAGUAUGGUAGAGGGUGGUGGAAUUUCCUGUGUAGCGGUGAAAUGCGUAGAUAUAGGAAGGAACACCAGUGGCGAAGGCGACCACCUGGACUGAUACUGACACUGAGGUGCGAAAGCGUGGGGAGCAAACAGGAUUAGAUACCCCCGUAGUCCCUGUCUCUUAUAA
RNAcentral lists this ribosomal RNA (301 nucleotides) under uncultured bacterium. RNAcentral describes it as "partial 16S ribosomal RNA". It matches the Rfam family "Bacterial small subunit ribosomal RNA", at positions 509 to 809 of the family's 1533-position model. The record is from RNAcentral.